GUGGGGAAUUUUGGACAAUGGGCGAAAGCCUGAUCCAGCCAUGCCGCGUGCAGGAAGAAGGCGCUACGCGUUGUAAACUGCUUUUAACCGGGAAGAAACCCCAGGACGUGUCCUGGGUUGACGGUACCGGAGGAAUAAGCACCGGCUAACUUCGUGCCAGCAGCCGCGGUAAUACGAAGGGUGCAAGCGUUAUCCGGAUUCAUUGGGUUUAAAGGGUGCGUAGGCGGAGCGUUAAGUCAGUGGUGAAAUCCUGCAGCUUAACUGUAGACUUGCCAUUGAUACUGGCGCUCUUGAGUGCGCUUGAAGUGGGCGGAAUGUGCCGUGUAGCGGUGAAAUGCUUAGAUAUGGCACAGAACACCAAUUGCGAAGGCAGCUCACUAAGGCGAUACUGACGCCGAGGCACGAAAGCGUGGGGAUCGAACAGGAUUAGAAACCCGGGUAGUCC
RNAcentral lists this ribosomal RNA (445 nucleotides) under uncultured bacterium. RNAcentral's name for it is "bacterial SSU rRNA". It matches the Rfam family "Bacterial small subunit ribosomal RNA", at positions 354 to 796 of the family's 1533-position model. The record is from RNAcentral.